RNAcentral lists this ribosomal RNA (253 nucleotides) under uncultured bacterium. RNAcentral's name for it is "partial 16S ribosomal RNA". It matches the Rfam family "Bacterial small subunit ribosomal RNA", at positions 524 to 776 of the family's 1533-position model. The record is from RNAcentral.
UACGUAGGGAGCAAGCGUUGUCCGGAAUUAUUGGGCGUAAAGGGCGCGUAGGCGGUUGGAUAAGUCUUGUGUGAAAUCUUCGGGCUCAACUCGAAGUCUGCACGAGAAACUAUCUGGCUUGAGUGUGGGAGAGGUGAGUGGAAUUCCUGGUGUAGCGGUGAAAUGCGUAGAUAUCAGGAAGAACACCUGUGGCGAAAGCGGCUCACUGGACCACAACUGACGCUGAGGCGCGAAAGCUAGGGGAGCAAACAGG